GGACAUAUCAUAACGAAGAGGUAUCGUAAUUGAAGAGGUUUGGAAAGACCCACCACAGAAGGUAAUAGUCCUGUAUGUUAAACGAGAAGACUUUAGAUAUGAUCCAGAGUACCACGGGACACGUGAAACCCUGUGGGAAGCAGGAGGGACCACCCUCCAAGGCUAAAUACUACCUAGUGACCGAUAGCGUAUAGUACCGUGAGGGAAAGGUGAAAAGAACCCCGGGAGGGGAGUGAAAUAGAACCUGAAACCCUGCACUUACAAGCUGUGGAAGCACAUUUCUUGUGUGACCGCGUACUUUUUGUAGAACGGGCCAACGAGUUACGUUAAGUAGCAAGGUUAAGCACUUAAGGUGCGGAGCCGUAGCGAAAGCGAGUUUUAACUGAGCGUUCAGUUACUUGACGUAGACCCGAAACCGGGCGACCUACCCAUGAGCAGGAUGAAGCGAAAGUAAAAUUUCGUGGAGGUCCGAACCCACGAGCGUUGAAAAGCUCGGGGAUGACUUGUGGGUAGCGGUGAAAUUCCAAUCGAGCCCGGAGAUAGCUGGUUCUCCCCGAAAUAGCUUUAGGGCUAGCCUCAAGGUGAGAGAUACGGAGGUAGAGCACUGAAUGUCCUAGGGGGUAUUGCACCUACCGAAGACUAUCAAACUCCGAAUGCCGUCAUCUUAUACUUGGGAGUCAGACUGUGGGUGAUAAGAUUCAUAGUCGAAAGGGCAACAGCCCAGAUCGUCAGCUAAGGUCCCUAAAUGUAAGUUAAGUGGUAAAGGAUGUGGGAUUGCACAGACAACCAGGAUGUUGGCUUAGAAGCAGCCACUCAUUCAAAGAGUGCGUAAUAGCUCACUGGUCGAGUGAUCCUGCGCCGAAGAUUUCCGGGGCUAAAACUUACUACCGAAGCUACGGCAUCAGUAAUGAUGGGUAGGGGAGCUUCCCAUACGGGUUGAAGCAUGACCGUAAGGACAUGUGGACAGUAUGGGAGUGAGAAUGUUGGCAUGAGUAGCGAGAUGUGGGUGAGAAUCCCACAGGCCGUAAACCCAAGGUUUCCAGGGGAAGGUUCGUCCGCCCUGGGUUAGUCGGGACCUAAGCUGAGGCCGAAAGGCGUAGGUGAUGGACAACAGGUUGAUAUUCCUGUACUACCGAUAACCGUUUGAGAGAAGGGAUGACACAGUAGGAUAAGCUAAGCACACUGUUGGUUAUGUGUGCCCAAGCAUUGAGGCAGUCAAAGUAGGCAAAUCCGCUUUGAUAAUGCUGGGAUGUGAUGGGGAGCGAAAUUUAGUAGCGAAGUAGCUGAUUUCACACUGUCAAGAAAAGUCUCUAUCGAGGUUAAAGGUACCCGUACCGCAAACCGACACAGGUGGGUGAGGAGAGUAUCCUAAGGCCAGCGAGAGAACUGUUGUUAAGGAACUCGGCAAAAUGACCCCGUAACUUAGGGAUAAGGGGUGCCACCAUCAGGUGGCCGCAGAGAAUAGGCCCAAGCGACUGUUUACCAAAAACAUAGGUUUCUGCUAAGUCGCAAGACGAUGUAUAGGAGCUGACGCCUGCCCGGUGCUGGAA
RNAcentral lists this ribosomal RNA (1550 nucleotides) under Clostridioides difficile. Its description in RNAcentral is "partial 23S ribosomal RNA". It matches the Rfam family "Bacterial large subunit ribosomal RNA", at positions 303 to 1874 of the family's 2925-position model. Lineage: Bacteria; Bacillati; Bacillota; Clostridia; Peptostreptococcales; Peptostreptococcaceae. The record is from RNAcentral.